Molecule: ribosomal RNA, 705 nt
Filed under: uncultured Cytophagaceae bacterium
Lineage: Bacteria; Pseudomonadati; Bacteroidota; Cytophagia; Cytophagales; Cytophagaceae
Description: bacterial SSU rRNA
Rfam family: Bacterial small subunit ribosomal RNA
Source: RNAcentral
CUGUCGUACGGGUGCGUAACACGUAUGCAACCUACCUAUCACAGGGGGAUAGCCUCUGGAAACAGGGAUUAAUACCGCAUAAAGCAGGGACACCGCAUGGUGAUAUUGCUAAAGAUUUAUCGGUGAUAGAUGGGCAUGCGUCUGAUUAGUUAGUUGGUGAGGUAACGGCUCACCAAGACGAUGAUCAGUAGGGGGCGUCAGAGCGUGGUCCCCCACACUGGCACUGAGAUACGGGCCAGACUCCUACGGGAGGCAGCAGUAGGGAAUAUUGGGCAAUGGAUGCAAGUCUGACCCAGCCAUGCCGCGUGCAGGAAGAAGGUCCUCUGGAUUGUAAACUGCUUUUUUGGGGGAAGAAUAGUUUUCUUGCGAGGAAAUGUGACGGUACCCUAAGAAUAAGCCACGGCUAACUACGUGCCAGCAGCCGCGGUAAUACGUAGGUGGCAAGCGUUGUCCGGAUUUAUUGGGUUUAAAGGGUGCGUAGGUGGUUUGAUAAGUCAGUGGUGAAAGCCGGUUGCUCAACAAUCGAGUUGCCAUUGAUACUGUCGGACUUGAGAGAAGUGGAGGUUCAUGGAAUGGAUGGUGUAGCGGUGAAAUGCAUAGAUAUCAUCCAGAACGUCGAUUGCGAAGGCAGUGGGCUGUACUUUAUCUGACACUGAGGCACGAAAGUGUGGGGAUCAAACAGGAUUAGAUACCCUGGUAGUCCAC